This 330-nucleotide small RNA is filed under the name Pan troglodytes (chimpanzee). Its description in RNAcentral is "processed transcript". Lineage: Eukaryota; Metazoa; Chordata; Mammalia; Primates; Hominidae. The record is from RNAcentral.
GCGGGGGCUCGCGGAGUCGGCGCCAUGACCCCAUCGAGGCUUCCCUGGUUGCUUAGCUGGGUCUCGGCCACGGCGUGGAGAGCUGCAAGAAUCCGCGCUCCUGGUCCAGGCUCCAGCAGAAAAGGAUUUGUGGCAGUUUACAGUUUAUCUCUUAAAAAUGGGAAAAGUGCAGAAGUGAGCCAAAGGCAAAUAAGUAUAACGUAAAUUAGAUGAAGCCAGAAAUUGUCAGUACAGAAAACAUUCAUGCUUUCAGUAAAACCAACAUUUUUAAACCCAUUGUUGUUGGAAAUUUUUCUCAAGAUAAUACAGUUAGCAGCCCAGACUAUGCAA